UCCGGUUAAAAUUCCGGAAC
Molecule: small nuclear RNA, 20 nt
Filed under: Arabidopsis thaliana (thale cress)
Lineage: Eukaryota; Viridiplantae; Streptophyta; Magnoliopsida; Brassicales; Brassicaceae
Description: snRNA_08649
Source: RNAcentral